Molecule: ribosomal RNA, 481 nt
Filed under: uncultured Saprospira sp.
Lineage: Bacteria; Pseudomonadati; Bacteroidota; Saprospiria; Saprospirales; Saprospiraceae
Description: bacterial SSU rRNA
Rfam family: Bacterial small subunit ribosomal RNA
Source: RNAcentral
GAUGAACGCUAGCGGCAGGCUUAAUACAUGCAAGUCGAACGGUAACAGGUCUUUCGGGAUGCUGACGAGUGGCGCACGGGUGAGUAACGCGUACAUAAUCUACCUUCAUCAGGGGGAAAGUCACUGGAAACGGUGAAUAAUCCCGCAUACAAUUACGGAUUGGCAUCAAUUAGUAAUAAAAGCUACGGCGGAUGAAGAUGUGUGUGCGUCUGAUUAGCUAGAUGGUAAGGUAACGGCUUACCAUGGCGACGAUCAGUAGGGGGCGUGAGAGCGUGAUCCCCCACACGGGUACUGAGACACGGACCCGACUCCUACGGGAGGCAGCAGUAAGGAAUAUUGGUCAAUGGAGGGAACUCUGAACCAGCCAUGCCGCGUGCGGGAAGACGGCCCUAUGGGUUGUAAACCGCUUUUAUAUGGGAAGAAUAGUCGUCAUUUAUGACGGAAGAGACGGUACCAUAAGAAUAAGCACCGGCUAACUCCG